RNAcentral lists this ribosomal RNA (254 nucleotides) under uncultured bacterium. RNAcentral describes it as "partial 16S ribosomal RNA". It matches the Rfam family "Bacterial small subunit ribosomal RNA", at positions 524 to 776 of the family's 1533-position model. The record is from RNAcentral.
CACGUAGGGUGCGAGCGUUGUCCGGAAUUAUUGGGCGUAAAGAGCUCGUAGGCGGUGUGUCGCGUCGGCCGUGAAAACCUGCAGCUUAACUGUGGGCUUGCGGUCGAUACGGGCAUCACUGGAGUUCGGCAGGGGAGACUGGAAUUCCUGGUGUAGCGGUGAAAUGCGCAGAUAUCAGGAGGAACACCUGAGGUGAAGACGGGUUGCUGGGCUGACACUGACGCUGAGGCGCGAAAGCCAGGGGAGCAAACGGG